AACGAACGCUGGCGGCAUGCCUAACACAUGCAAGUCGAACGAGACCUUCGGGUCUAGUGGCGCACGGGUGCGUAACGCGUGGGAACCUGCCCUUAGGUUCGGAAUAACUCCCCGAAAGGGGUGCUAAUACCGGAUAAUGUCUUCGGACCAAAGAUUUAUCGCCUUUGGAUGGGCCCGCGUUGGAUUAGCUAGUUGGUAGGGUAAAAGCCUACCAAGGCGACGAUCCAUAGCUGGUCUGAGAGGAUGAUCAGCCACACUGGGACUGAGACACGGCCCAGACUGCUACGGGAGGCAGCAGUGGGGAAUAUUGGACAAUGGGCGAAAGCCUGAUCCAGCAAUGCCGCGUGAGUGAUGAAGGCCGUAGGGUUGUAAAGCUCUUUUACCCGGGAUGAUAAUGACAGUACCGGGAGAAUAAGCUCCGGCUAACUCCGUG
This 433-nucleotide ribosomal RNA is filed under the name uncultured bacterium. Its description in RNAcentral is "partial 16S ribosomal RNA". It matches the Rfam family "Bacterial small subunit ribosomal RNA", at positions 29 to 507 of the family's 1533-position model. The record is from RNAcentral.